GACAGCCAGGAUGUUGGCUUAGAAGCAGCCAUCAUUUAAAGAAAGCGUAAUAGCUCACUGGUCGAGUCGGCCUGCGCGGAAGAUGUAACGGGGCUAAACCAUGCACCGAAGCUGCGGCAGCGACACUAUGUGUUGUUGGGUAGGGGAGCGUUCUGUAAGCCUGUGAAGGUGUGCUGUGAGGCAUGCUGGAGGUAUCAGAAGUGCGAAUGCUGACAUAAGUAACGAUAAAGCGGGUGAAAAGCCCGCUCGCCGGAAGACCAAGGGUUCCUGUCCAACGUUAAUCGGGGCAGG
Molecule: ribosomal RNA, 291 nt
Filed under: Escherichia coli
Lineage: Bacteria; Pseudomonadati; Pseudomonadota; Gammaproteobacteria; Enterobacterales; Enterobacteriaceae
Description: partial 23S ribosomal RNA
Rfam family: Bacterial large subunit ribosomal RNA
Source: RNAcentral